GGGCCAAUAGCUCAGUUGGUUAGAGCACUUCGUUUACACCGAAGGGGUCGGGGGUUCGAGUCCCUCUUGGCCCACCC
RNAcentral lists this transfer RNA (77 nucleotides) under Micrococcus terreus. RNAcentral describes it as "tRNA_Val_TAC". It matches the Rfam family "tRNA". Rfam says of the family: Transfer RNA (tRNA) molecules are approximately 80 nucleotides in length. Their secondary structure includes four short double-helical elements and three loops (D, anti-codon, and T loops). The record is from RNAcentral. Lineage: Bacteria; Bacillati; Actinomycetota; Actinomycetes; Micrococcales; Micrococcaceae.